AACGCUAGCUACAGGCUUAACACAUGGCAAGUCGAGGGGCAGCGGGGAGUAGCAAUACUCUGCCGGCGACCGGCGAAAGGGUGCGUAACGCGUGAGCGACAUACCCGUGACUGGGGCAUAACCGAUGGAAACGUUGACUAAUUCCCCAUAACACAUCGUGCUGCAUGGCAUGGUGUUGAAAAUUUCGAUGGUCACGGAUUGGCUCGCGUCUGAUUAGCUAGUUGGUGGGGUAACGGCUCACCAAGGCGACGAUCAGUAGGGGUUCUGAGAGGAAGGUCCCCCACAAUGGAACUGAGACACGGUCCAUACUCCUACGGGAGGCAGCAGUGAGGAAUAUUGGUCAAUGGGCGGAAGCCUGAACCAGCCAUGCCGCGUGCAGGAUGACGGCCCUAUGGGUUGUAAACUGCUUUUGCUGUGGAGCAAUAAGGGUCACGCGCUGACCCGAUGAGAGUACACAGCGAAUAAGCAUCGGCUAACUCCGUG
Molecule: ribosomal RNA, 483 nt
Filed under: uncultured bacterium
Lineage: Bacteria
Description: bacterial SSU rRNA
Rfam family: Bacterial small subunit ribosomal RNA
Source: RNAcentral